UACAGAGGGUGCGAGCGUUAAUCGGAAUUACUGGGCGUAAAGCGUGCGUAGACGGUUAUUUAGGUCGGGUGUGAAAGCCCCGGGCUCAACCUGGGAAUUGCAUUCGAGACUGAAUAGCUAGGGUACGGUAGAGGGAAGUGGAAUUUCCGGUGUAGCGGUGAAAUGCGUAGAUAUCGGAAGGAACAUCAGUGGCGAAAGCGACUUCCUGGACCAGUACCGACGUUCAGGCACGAAAGCGUGGGGAGCAAACAGG
RNAcentral lists this ribosomal RNA (253 nucleotides) under uncultured bacterium. RNAcentral describes it as "partial 16S ribosomal RNA". It matches the Rfam family "Bacterial small subunit ribosomal RNA", at positions 524 to 776 of the family's 1533-position model. The record is from RNAcentral.